Plodia interpunctella (Indianmeal moth) is the source of this 290-nucleotide long non-coding RNA. RefSeq lists it as uncharacterized. NCBI's taxonomy places the organism in Eukaryota, Metazoa, Arthropoda, Insecta, Lepidoptera, Pyralidae. The transcript has 2 exons. The record is from RefSeq and is a predicted model, not a curated record.
CGGGUAAGGCUUCUCCAGCCUUCCAGUACAAGCCAGCUAAGGAGAAACUAAAUGCACAGCUUGUGGAUGACAUUGUGCAUACCGUGGUGUCGAAAUGUGGCGUUGCGGCAAAUCUUGUGCGCACUAGCAUCACAACAAAAUGUGCAGAUGAGAGCAAAAUGCAUCGCUCUCGUCUAAAGAAGCAGACUAACAGUCGAAAAAAUCUCGAGAAUAGGGCACCGCGAUCUACGUCAGAAUCUAAUUAAACUGGAGUCCACAACUGAAGAACGUCGUCGCGCCGCGGAAAUGUG